UAGGGAAUCUUCCGCAAUGGACGCAAGUCUGACGGAGCAACGCCGCGUGAGUGAAGAAGGAUUUCGGUUCGUAAAACUCUGUUGUUAGAGAAGAACAGCGCAUAGAGUAACUGUUAUGCGUGUGACGGUAUCUAACCAGAAAGCCACGGCUAACUACGUUCCAGCAGCCGCGGUAAUACGUAGGUGGCAAGCGUUGUCCGGAUUUAUUGGGCGUAAAGCGAGCGCAGGCGGUCAAUUAAGUCUGAUGUGAAAGCCCCCGGCUCAACCGGGGAGGGUCAUUGGAAACUGGUUGACUUGAGUGCAAAAGAGGAGAGUGGAAGUCGAUGUGUAGCGGUUAAAUGCGUAGAUAUAUGGAGGAACACCAGUGGCGAAGGCAACUAUCUGGUCUGUAACUGACGAUGAGGCUCGAAAGCGUGUGUAGCAAACAGG
This 429-nucleotide ribosomal RNA is filed under the name Bacteroidota bacterium. RNAcentral's name for it is "Bacteroidetes bacterium partial 16S ribosomal RNA". It matches the Rfam family "Bacterial small subunit ribosomal RNA", at positions 355 to 776 of the family's 1533-position model. Lineage: Bacteria; Pseudomonadati; Bacteroidota. The record is from RNAcentral.